AUAUAGAGAACGGAAGGCACCCAGAGUUGUACAUCAAGUACUCAGUGGAGGACCUUGAGACGUCUGUCACAGAUUUCUUUGAGGGCUGUCCACCUUCGCUACAUAACAGGAGAAGAUCCCAUGGAUGAGAUGACUUCAAGACUCAAAAGAUCUUUUACUGUUGACUGAUGAGUGUUGUUGCCUAGUUUUCUACAGUGCUCUGGGAAAAGCGACACUUGAGGGUAUAGUUGGUGAUGAUUUCUUCUACUAGAGGUAAUCUGAAACAGGAUCAGGAUCUUAUUGAAACUGUUAAAUUCCUUAGUGGUUCUUCCUUUUAUAACCAACCCUGUUCGUUUGUUACACUAUCAUUAUAUCUUUCAUGAUUAGGGCCCUGUUUAGAGGCAUUUAAAAUGACAAAUGGCAAAUGGCAAAAGUUUUGACAUUGCAUUUUUGCAAGUUGGUGUUUAGAGGCAUGUAAAAGUUAACAUUUUUUUGGCAAAAGUGAGAGGUGGUCCGCAUCCCUAUGCACCUUUUGGUGAAAUUUACUACUCUAGACUGCCAAAUACCAAAUGCAAACUUGCCAUUUUCUUACCCUAGUGUUUAGAUCCAUUUUGCCAAAAAGUACUUCAAAAUGACAAAACUUCUGUCAUUUUGAAGGAUCUAAACAGGGCCUAGCUUGUUCAUAUAGGUCUGUUCUUUCAGAAUGUUUCAUAGUUGUAACAUCAUGGUAUUUGUUUGACACUUAACUGAGUGUCUUGUCACCUUUUUGGUUGUUCAGAUAUAUAUCAAGAUUGCACUUGAUAGAUUAGAUGUAAAAGAUUUGUGUUCCUGGGUUUCAUCUAUGUAAAAUUAUGGCCAUAAAGUCUCAGUUUUGAGGUUCCCAUGCUCGGUCUCUUUUCAAGUGUAUUUUCCAGAGGGCUACUGAUGUAACUUCCUAGUUUGGACUAGGGCUAAUGCUAACAUAAAAAGAAAAGGACAGUAAAUCCCCAUUUAAAAAUAACAGUGCUAUUUUAUCAUGGAUUAUUGUAUUAGCGCGAGGUAAAUCAUGUUAUUUUAUGUUUGUGCAUGGCAAAUUGCUUACUUCCUCGAUCUACUAUGAAUGUGGUAGAUUUUUCUUCCUGAUAAAAUGCCUCAAUGAUUAUCAUUGAGAGAAGUUCUGUUUUCAGGAUUAGUUUAGAUAUUAUCAUACCAACAAAAGAUACUGCGUUGAUAAUUCAGAUUCUGUUGUUCGGUUGGGGUGAGCUAAGCAAUUUAUAAGAAUUUCCAAGUUGUUGACUAACGAGUCUUUAUAUAAGAAAAGUUCACAUGUACUUCUUUGUGCCUGCUGAUUACUUAAGAGCUGUUUCUAUUGGUUAUGUGCUGGGUAAUAACUAAUAAGGAAGUAAUAAAAAUCACUUGUAAGUUGUAAAUCGGUUGUUUCUCUUGUUAUGCCAGAAUUGUUUCGACAUAACUUUGUUCUUAGAUGGCUGAAUAGCAUUUCCUAGAAUGUAUACAGCUAACCCUGGACUUGAAAAGAAAUAGUUGCAGAAGGUGGAGAUUGGUAGCUAUGGUGCGAUGUAAAUUGGACACGGACAGCAUGUGCUUGGUAUGUUUAAGAGCCGGGGAAAUGAUUGGCUGUUCAUGAGGAUGCAAUUCAGAUUUCUGUUAUGGUUCUCUAUUGAGUAAUGUUUGGUCGCGGACUCGCUGUAAUGCUGUUAAGCAGUGAGCUGUAUGGAUGUGGCAUUGAAAGUGUGAUGGUUUCUCGCUUGACUAUUCUGGUUCCGUGUCAUUCUUUUCUCGCUUAUUAAUAAGGCUACUAAUCUUUGCACGGUUAUGCUGUCAGAAGUGUUAGCUGAGAUUGUUAAAACUUCACUGUCAUAUUUCACAUUACUAAUCCUACGUCCCUUCUAUUGAAUCAAGCUGUGUUAUGUGUGACUGUGAGUUUGUUGCCCCAUCUACACGUCAUAGGAAGGCUGAAAUGCAUGAAAUUUGUGUAGUUUCUGCAGCAACUGACGCAUCAUAGGUGACAACAAAAUAGUUGCAACUGCCGCCUCAGCCGUUGCUUGUUACAACUGUACUUGGGUAUAUAAGUAGAUCCAAAAUAGCAGUAGUUAAGACACGGAUGGAUCUAUGAUACCGAUUUCAUGGUUUGGAAGCAUAACAAUUAUUCGGCGAGCCAGCUAUUGGUUCGGCCGAUUGGUGCUGUAAGCCAUGAACAGUCAUAGAUGACGUGAAUAUGGCGAGCAUGGACUAAUUUUACGAGGUGGAUUCAAUCCGUAUACCCUCUCCGUCCUAAAAAAAAACUUUAUUUUUAAUAUAUUCAAAUAUACCUACACAAAACUGAAUGUUCUUCAUUCUUUCAAAUCUUAUAUUUGUCCCACCAUUUUUCAAGUCCCAUAACAUUUGUCACCUACUUUACUGAUUCCAAAUACAAUAAUUAUUUAAAAGAUAAAGUUUUAUAGGACAAAACAGAGAAACUUUAGAACAAACGAGAAAACCUAAAAAUAAAGUCUUUUGACAAAAUGAGUAUCUAUAAGGACCUAGAUAUGAAACAAUAUUAAAUGCUUAUUUUUAAUCACUAUGCAUACAUUAUAUAAAAAAUUUCAUUGGUUAACUGAUUUGAUUUCUUUUGGUGGACCAUGCUCAUUUGGGUUCAAGUUCUAGACUUAGGACAUGCAUUCGUAUAGUCAAUCAUUCUUUCAGUGUUAUGCAACAUAUCUAUUUACAAUGAGACGUUCGUGACGACUUCACCAAUUUCAAGGUAUAUCAAGCUUUUCGGUAAGAUGCACACAUGUUGAGUUUGUUAAUUUCAAGACAUGUCUAUAUAAUCUUCAGGAGAUAUUCAUCAGGGUAAACGUGUGCGUGUUUACAUCCGAACAUCUACAUCUAUGUUUUGCAAAUGAAAACUAAAAAAAAACAUUGCACAAUAAGUUUCCAAAACUCAUCGGUGCACAAAGCUAGCACAUGCAUGUGAGCAUCCAUGUAUGCACCCAUUGUAUUUUGCUCAUCCCACUACGCAGGCACGCAAAUGGACAUCGUUUAGCGGGGUUACCUGUUGUUGUUUUUUUGGGCGAAGUUGCAGCAUUUGCGCUGCCUUUCAAUUCAAACACCAUGAUAAAACACUUCUCACGUCAAGGUUGAGAGACUCGGGCAUUGGGGGCAUUGGCAUAUGCGCCGGAGCGGUCGAGAGAGGGAGGGCAGCAGCAAAGACAGCGACGAGGCGGCGACGGUCCGACACCCGCCGCUCCCGGCUCCCUCCCUUGCACGCACGCACGCACGGCUCCACUUCCUUCCGCCCCGUGAGCCGCCGCGCGCCGUGCGGCCCGUGAGUAGAGCAGAGGCAAUCCCGGCACGGCUGCUGCUUUUUUUGGGGGUGGGGGCAACCAACCGCAUCCGCGACCGCGCGCGAGCGGUCGGCGCCGUGCCGG
This 3386-nucleotide long non-coding RNA is filed under the name Oryza brachyantha (malo sina). RNAcentral describes it as "long non-coding RNA (OBRA_LNC002494)". The record is from RNAcentral. Lineage: Eukaryota; Viridiplantae; Streptophyta; Magnoliopsida; Poales; Poaceae.